Molecule: ribosomal RNA, 421 nt
Filed under: uncultured archaeon
Lineage: Archaea
Description: partial 16S ribosomal RNA
Rfam family: Archaeal small subunit ribosomal RNA
Source: RNAcentral
CUACGGGGGGCAGCAGUUAGGGAUAUUCUGCAAUGCGCGAAAGCGUGACAGAUUGAGUCAGAGUGCUUUUCAUACGAAAAGCUUUUGCCAAAUUUAAAAAGUUUGGCGAAUAAGGACUGGGUAAGACGAGUGCCAGCCGCCGCGGUAAUACUCGCGGUCCAAGUCGCAGCCAUUUUUAUUGGGUCUAAAACAUCCGUAGCUUGCUUGGUAAGUUUCUUGUGAAAUCUGGCUUCUUAAGAGUCAGGCGUGCAAGAAGUACUGCCAGGCUAGAGACUGGAAGACGUAAGAAGUACGUUCGAAGUAGCGGUAAAAUGUGUUAAUCUCGGACGGACUAACAAUAGCGAAGGCAUCUUACGAGGACAGUUCUGACAGUAAGGGAUGAAGGCUAGGGGCGCAAAACGGAUUAGAUACCCUAGUAGUC